Molecule: ribosomal RNA, 304 nt
Filed under: uncultured bacterium
Lineage: Bacteria
Description: bacterial SSU rRNA
Rfam family: Bacterial small subunit ribosomal RNA
Source: RNAcentral
AUUGAACGCUGGCGGCAUGCCUUACACAUGCAAGUCAAACGGCAGCACGGGAGCAAUCCUGGUGGCGAGUGGCGAACGGGUGAGUAAUAUAUCGGAACGUGCCCAGUCGUGGGGGAUAACGCAGCGAAAGCUGUGCUAAUACCGCAUACGAUCUAUGGAUGAAAGCGGGGGAUCGCAAGACCUCGCGCGAUUGGAGCGGCCGAUAUCAGAUUAGGUAGUUGGUGAGGUAAAGGCUCACCAAGCCGACGAUCUGUAGCUGGUCUGAGAGGACGACCAGCCACACUGGAACUGAGACACGGUCCAG